GCUCUGCCUGUCGAGGUUCCUGAACAUAUUGCUGCUUUGAGCUUUGAGACACUCGCUGUGGUCAGAAACAUUGAAGACCCUAGUGCUGAAAGGAUUGUACCCUUUGUACCCGAGUUGUCCCUGCAAAACCCCCAAAAUUCUUAUGCUGGUGAUUUGUCCUCUGAGAAUCCAGAUGAGGUUCCUGUGAG
Sinocyclocheilus rhinocerous is the source of this 188-nucleotide long non-coding RNA. RefSeq lists it as uncharacterized. The record is from RefSeq and is a predicted model, not a curated record. The transcript has 3 exons. NCBI's taxonomy places the organism in Eukaryota, Metazoa, Chordata, Actinopteri, Cypriniformes, Cyprinidae.